ACGCUGGCGGCACGCCUAACACAUGCAAGUCGAACGAAGUAGCAAUACUUAGUGGCAGACGGGUGAGUAACAUGUAGGUAUCUGCCCUUUGGCCUGGAAUAACACGAGGAAACUUGUGCUAAUACCGGAUAAGUCUUUACGGAGAAAGCUUUAUGCACCAUUGGAUGAGCCUGCACUUGAUUAGUUUGUUGGUGGGGUAAUGGCCUACCAAGACUGUGAUCAAUAGCUGAUUUGAGAGGAUGAUCAGCCACAUUGGGACUGAGACACGGCCCAAACUCCUACGGGAGGCAGCAGUGGGGAAUCUUGCACAAUGGAGGAAACUCUGAUGCAGCGAUGCCGCGUGAGUGAAGAAGGCCUUUGGGUUGUAAAGCUCUUUCGUCGGGGAAGAAAAUGACUGUACCCGAAUAAGAAGGUCCGGCUAACUUCGUGCCAGCAGCCGCGGUAAUACGAAGGGACCUAGCGUAGUUCGGAAUUACUGGGCUUAAAGAGUUCGUAGGUGGUUGAAAAAGUUAGUGGUGAAAUCCCAGAGCUUAACUCUGGAACUGCCAUUAAAACUUUUCAGCUAGAGUAUGAUAGAGGAAAGCAGAAUUUCUAGUGUAGAGGUGAAAUUCGUAGAUAUUAGAAAGAAUACCAAUUGCGAAGGCAGCUUUCUGGAUCAUUACUGACACUGAGGAACGAAAGCAUGGGUAGCGAAGAGGAUUAGAUACCCUCGUAGUCCAUGCCGUAAACGAUGUGUGUUAGACGUUGGAAAUUUAUUUUCAGUGUCGCAGCGAAAGCGAUAAACACACCGCCUGGGGAGUACGACCGCAAGGGUUAAAACUCAAAUGAAUUGACGGGGACCCGCACAAGUAGUGGAGCAUGUGGUUUAAUUCGAAGAUACGCGCAGAACCUUACCAACACUUGACAUGUUCGUCGCGACUCUAAGAGAUUAGAGUUUUCGGUUCGGCCGGACGAAACACAGGUGCUGCAUGGCUGUCGUCAGCUCGUGUCGUGAGAUGUUGGGUUAAGUCCCGCAACGAGCGCAACCCUCACUUUUAGUUGCCAUCAUUAAGUUGGGCACUCUGAAAGAACUGCCAGUGAUAAGCUGGAGGAAGGUGGGGAUGACGUCAAGUCCUCAUGGCCCUUACGUGUUGGGCUACACACGUGCUACAAUGGUAUCUACAACAGGAAGCAAAACUGCGAAGUUAAGCAAAUCCCUAAAAGAUACCUCAGUUCGGAUUGCACUCUGCAACUCGAGUGCAUGAAGCUGGAAUUACUAGUAAUCGUGGAUCAGCGUGCCACGGUGAAUGCGUUCCCGGGUCUUGUACACACCGC
This 1314-nucleotide ribosomal RNA is filed under the name uncultured Alphaproteobacteria bacterium. Its description in RNAcentral is "uncultured alpha proteobacterium 16S ribosomal RNA". It matches the Rfam family "Bacterial small subunit ribosomal RNA", at positions 33 to 1393 of the family's 1533-position model. Lineage: Bacteria; Pseudomonadati; Pseudomonadota; Alphaproteobacteria. The record is from RNAcentral.